This 1749-nucleotide ribosomal RNA is filed under the name Triticum aestivum (bread wheat). RNAcentral describes it as "partial small subunit ribosomal RNA". The record is from RNAcentral. Lineage: Eukaryota; Viridiplantae; Streptophyta; Magnoliopsida; Poales; Poaceae.
AUGGAACCUCUCAGUGAAGAAAACUCAAGAAUGUUAUUGUUGAAUAGAGUAUUUGGGUUCGUACAUGGUUGUCCCCCCCAACUUGAAGAUGUCAUGACUGAAAUUUUGAAAAAGUGUCAUGGAUCGCCACUUGCAGUUAUCACAAUAGCUAGCCUAUUAGCAAGUGAAGAAAGAUCAUUGAAGGGCUGGGUGAGUAUAAGGGAUUAUUUGGGUGCCCAGUCUGCCACAAAUCCCACCUUGGAAGAGAUGAAGAGUAUAUUAAACCUUAGCUACAUGCAUCUUCCUGCUCAUUUUCGAGCAUGUUUUUUGUACCUUGGUAUGUAUGCUGAGGACUGUGAAAUCCUAAGGGAUGAUCUGAUUCGACAAUGGAUAGCUGAAGGCUUUAUCAUUAGUUUGCAUGUGCAAGAUCUGGAGGAUGUUGGCAGGAGUUAUUUCAAUGAGCUUGUCAAUAGAAGCAUGAUCCAGCCUUAUAAAAAUGUGGAUGGGAAGGUGUGUUGCAAAGUACACGACAUGAUGCUUGAUUUGAUCCUAAGCAAGUGUGUUGAAGAUAACUUUAUAAGUGUUGCAUACAAUUAUGAAGGCAUGGCAAGAUUGCAUAGCAGGAAACACAAGGUCCGUCGACUAUGUAUGACAUCCAUUGUUGGUGAUGGAGCAACAUAUGGCCCAACUAUUGUUGCUAGCUUAUCACAAGUUCGUUCAUUUACAAUGUUGGGGAACUCCAUGCCUCCUCUGGUGUUGUUUAAGUAUCUCCGGGUGCUCAAGAUUGAUCAAGGCAGGGCCAGGGGAGACGAGGAGACACGUGACCUGACCGCUAUUAGCCAAUUGUUUCAGCUAAGGUAUUUUCAGGUUUUGGGGCCAUAUCCUAUAAAGCUCCCUUCUGAACUUCAAGGGCUUGUUUACUUGGAGACGCUGGACAUACCUGAUGCAUGUCCCAAGACCAUCCCCUCAGAUAUUGUCCAUUUGUCCCGCUUGUCCUAUCUCAAUGUAUGGAUGGAAGAAGGGCUGCCUGAAUUGAUUGGAAAUAUGAAAGCACUGCGCAGUUUGAGAAUAUCGAAUAGCUGGGUGAUCCAUCAUAGCAUGCAGGGUAUUAUGGGUCUCGGUGAGCUGACCAAUCUUCGGGAACUGAUGAUCGAGGUGGGGCCUUUGGAGAAGCCAGAACUUGAUGCUUUGGUCUGGUCCAUUGGAAGGCUCUGUAACCUCAAACACCUUCAAAUCUUAGGGUUAUGUUCCAAAGGCGAUAACCAGCUGGGUUCAUUAUCCAAUCCUUUCCAACAUCUCGAGGAAUUGCACGUAUCUUCAUUGAAUUUCUGUAGAGUUCCCAUAUGGAUGGGUGGUCUCCAUUGCCUUCGCAUUCUCGACCUGCGUGUGGAGGAGACGUCAACUGAGGAGGUUUAUCUUCUUGUGGGGCUUCCCUCCCUUGUCAAUUUGAUUUUCAAACCGUCACACAUCCCUAAAGAAAGGGCUAUGUUGGACACAGGACUAUUCCCGGUUCUGGAGUACCUUGAAUUUUGGUCUCAGCAAGAUGUUAUGGGGUACCUGGGGUUCGAGGCAGGAGCCAUGCCCAACCUACAAUUCCUCACCGUUCACUUUAUAAAGGAGUGGGGCGGCAGUAUACCAGUCGGCAUGGAACAUCUAUCACGCCUCCAAGAGAUCCUACUGAAGGAGGCUUAUUCCGAUGAUGCCAUUGUGUCUAUGUUCAGGAAUGCCUUAUCAGCACACCGAAACCGCCCUUCCGUUGAACAUUGGUAA